GAUGAACGCUAGCGGCAGGCCUAACACAUGCAAGUCGAGGGAGAGGUUACCUUCGGGUAACCAAAACCGGCGCACGGGUGCGUAACGCGUAUACAAUCUGCCUUUCACAUAGGGAUAGCCCGAAGAAAUUUGGAUUAAUACCUAAUGGUAUAUAAGAGCGGCAUCGUUUUUAUAUUAAAGCUACGGUGGUGAAAGAUGAGUAUGCGUUCUAUUAGCUAGCUGGAGAGGUAACGGCUCCCCAAGGCGACGAUAGAUAGGGGUUCUGAGAGGGAUGUCCCCCACACUGGUACUGAGAUACGGACCAGACUCCUACGGGAGGCAGCAGUGAGGAAUAUUGGACAAUGGUCGGAAGACUGAUCCAGCCAUGCCGCGUGCAGAAGGAAGGUCCUAUGGAUUGUAAACUGCUUUUGUAAGGGAAGAAUAAGGAGUACGUGUACUUUGAUGACGGUACCUUACGAAUAAGCAUCGGCUAACUCCGUG
RNAcentral lists this ribosomal RNA (480 nucleotides) under uncultured bacterium. RNAcentral's name for it is "partial 16S ribosomal RNA". It matches the Rfam family "Bacterial small subunit ribosomal RNA", at positions 28 to 507 of the family's 1533-position model. The record is from RNAcentral.